This 80-nucleotide transfer RNA is filed under the name Fusarium pseudensiforme. RNAcentral describes it as "tRNA-Gln". It matches the Rfam family "tRNA". From Rfam's summary of the family: Transfer RNA (tRNA) molecules are approximately 80 nucleotides in length. Their secondary structure includes four short double-helical elements and three loops (D, anti-codon, and T loops). Lineage: Eukaryota; Fungi; Ascomycota; Sordariomycetes; Hypocreales; Nectriaceae. RNAcentral also lists the same sequence under 17 other names. The record is from RNAcentral.
GGUCCUAUAGUCUAGUGGUCAGGACGUUGGAUUUUGAUUUCCGUCUUCCAAAGUCGCCAGUUCGAACCUGGCUAGGACCU